AGACGGAGGGAGCAAGCGUUGCUCGGAAUGAUUGGGCGUAAAGGGUGCGUAGGUGGUUUUUUAAGUGAAAUGUUAAAGGCUCGGACUUAAUUUGAGUACGGCAUUUUAUACUGAAAGACUUGAGUGUGGGAGAGGAAAUAGGAAUUCCUCAAGUAGAGGUGAAAUUCAUAGAUAUGAGGAGGAACACCAGAGGCGAAGGCGAAUUUCUGGAACACUACUGACACUGAGGCACGAAAGCGUGGGGAGCAAACAGGAUUAGAUACCCUGGUAGUCCACGCCCUAAACGAUGAUUGCUAAACGUCGGAAAUAAUUAAUUUUCGGUGUUAAAGCUAACGCGAUAAGCAAUCCGCCUGAGUAGUACGGUCGCAAGACUAAA
This 376-nucleotide ribosomal RNA is filed under the name uncultured Holosporaceae bacterium. RNAcentral describes it as "bacterial SSU rRNA". It matches the Rfam family "Bacterial small subunit ribosomal RNA", at positions 523 to 898 of the family's 1533-position model. The record is from RNAcentral. Lineage: Bacteria; Pseudomonadati; Pseudomonadota; Alphaproteobacteria; Holosporales; Holosporaceae.